RNAcentral lists this unclassified non-coding RNA (1075 nucleotides) under Rhizobium sp. CCBAU 83309. RNAcentral describes it as "partial contains 16S ribosomal RNA, 16S-23S ribosomal RNA intergenic spacer, and 23S ribosomal RNA". The stretch from base 209 to 282 matches the Rfam family "tRNA". Lineage: Bacteria; Pseudomonadati; Pseudomonadota; Alphaproteobacteria; Hyphomicrobiales; Rhizobiaceae. The record is from RNAcentral.
UGGAACUGGUAAGACGACCGGCUGGAUCUUCGGAUCUCCCCGGUAUGAACCUUCCCGUGCUUUUUAGAACAUAGAUGGCACCAGUCAGGUGACCAUCGAAACGUAAUACGCCGCGUAGACUUCGGUCACGACGGUAUGGCGAGCUUUCGCCGUCCACGUUUCUCUUUCUUCAAGAAGACAAAAAACCGUAUCGACCGGUUCCCCGAAUGGGCCCGUAGCUCAGUUGGUUAGAGCACACGCUUGAUAAGCGUGGGGUCGGAAGUUCAAGUCUUCCCGGGCCCACCAUUUACUUGAUGUGAAUGAUGGUUUGGGAUGAUGGAAUGGCAGUUGAUGCGGAUUGUUGCCGAACCCGGGAUGUGUCCUGGGCGAUCGAGCUGAUGGGGCUGUAGCUCAGCUGGGAGAGCACCUGCUUUGCAAGCAGGGGGUCAGCGGUUCGAUCCCGCUCAGCUCCACCAAAUCGAUUGGUGUUGAGACUGACGGCAUUUGUCUUUUGAAGAAAUACAAGUUUUGCAUCGGCUUUGAGCCUGAUGCCUGUUCUGCAUAUAUCGUGAAGAGAAGAUUGAUCUGGAGGCUUCCAGGUGUUUUGGGUUCUGCCCAAAGCGUCCGAGCCCAGUUCCUGUGAACCCAUGGAUGGCCUAGCCGGCCGGAUGUGGUGGAGGGAUUGGAGGUAGGAAGGAAGCUUGUCGCUCUGGAUCGUCAGCGUAAACCGCGUAGCGGUUUGUCGCGUGUUGUUUGCAGUCUUCGGACUGCAUCUGACGGACGAUCGGAUUACCGUUGCCUGACCGCGCGGUAUCGGAUCCAAUCUCGAGAAGCUGGUCUUAAGACAGGCUGCAAGUGGGCUGCUCGGCGUAGCUCCAAUAAAGCAGACCUGUCGAACACGUCGAUGGCAUCAACGAAUGGCCUGGGUUGUAAAAGGUAACCCUGGCUGCUGCAUCCCUUCGGGAUGUCGGCUAAGUGAUGAGCAUUGGCAAUGAGAACGAUUAAGUGUCGUAAGGGCAUUUGGUGGAUGCCUUGGCAUGCACAGGCGAUGAAGGACGUGAUACGCUGCGAAAAGCCGUGGGGAGCUGCGAAUGAG